This 253-nucleotide ribosomal RNA is filed under the name uncultured bacterium. RNAcentral describes it as "partial 16S ribosomal RNA". It matches the Rfam family "Bacterial small subunit ribosomal RNA", at positions 524 to 776 of the family's 1533-position model. The record is from RNAcentral.
UACAGAGGGUGCGAGCGUUGUCCGGAAUCACUGGGCGUAAAGGGCGCGUAGGUGGCGAGCCAAGUCCAUGGUGAAAGCUCGAUGCUCAACAUCGAGUCGGCCACGGAUACUGGUGCGCUGGAGCACUGUAGAGGCUCAUGGAAUUCCGGGUGUAGCGGUGGAAUGCGUAGAGAUCCGGAAGAACACCGGUGGCGGAGGCGGUGAGCUGGGCAGUUGCUGACACUGAGGCGCGACAGCGUGGGGAGCAAACAGG